GUUUGUCCUGGAGGAGAGAGGAUUUCAAACAGACUUCCAAAAGUUUUCAACUGUAAGGUCUGAGGUACAUGGAAUUCUUUUCCAAGGGGACAUGUGGCAUCUCCUUAAAAAACUCUGAUAGAAUUGGAUCAACAUUCUGAGUGAGAUGAUAGCCUGCUGAUGCAAUAAACUAAACUAAAUACGGGACAAGUGCAACACCUCUCGUAGCUUCAGGGUUGGGAGUGAACUAGAGAAGGCAAACACCUGCCCUUUCAGGAGCUCCAGCAGUGCUAAA
Prionailurus viverrinus (fishing cat) is the source of this 274-nucleotide long non-coding RNA. RefSeq lists it as uncharacterized. NCBI's taxonomy places the organism in Eukaryota, Metazoa, Chordata, Mammalia, Carnivora, Felidae. The transcript is spliced from 3 exons. The record is from RefSeq and is a predicted model, not a curated record.